Long non-coding RNA from Callithrix jacchus (white-tufted-ear marmoset), 9853 nucleotides. RefSeq lists it as uncharacterized. The record is from RefSeq and is a predicted model, not a curated record. NCBI's taxonomy places the organism in Eukaryota, Metazoa, Chordata, Mammalia, Primates, Cebidae.
GGGGCGCACUUCCGCAGUCGCUCCCGGAAGGGGGCCGGAGGGGCUUUCGCCUCAGUAGUGUUUCCGCGCGCCCUCGCUAGAGCGAAGCUGAGCGCUCUCAGGCCCGCGGGUAAGAGGCAUCUAGAAAGAUUUUUACAACUCAGUGUUUUCCGAGUUCCACUUGGCAUGACUUACUGCAAGAAGCUGAUAUGGAAAUCUCACUUAAAAAGUCAGCUUGCACCAAGGAUGACUGACUUGCCGCAGUUCCCAGGGACAUAGGUCAUCUCUCAGCUGUCUUGAAGGAAUGUGCAACAGAUUAAGAAAAAGUCUGAAAACUAUUUCAAUAGGUCCAUGCUGUGGAUCUCCUGAAGCCAAAAGAGGGAUACGUUAUAUAAAGAAGCUUUCCCACUGUCGUGGCACUUACAAGCAUUCUCUGCCAUAUAAACUACCUGAUGCUGAAUCAAGGCAGACUGAUGAAUCAAGGUUCUACUACACUGAUUCCAAAAAUCAUUUCUCUUCCAAAUGAUUUUUUAAGAUUAUCAAAAACUCUUGCAUUCUGAGUAAAGCCCUUUCAACAAGUGUUUCUCACCUGUGUAAAGUCUCCAAUGUCGACUGAAGACUGAUUUUUAAGUGAUUUUCCACAUCCAUCACAUUUUGGAUUUUUCUUUCCUUUUGGAUUCCCAUUUGAUGAAUAAGGCCAAUGUUUGAUUUAAGAGUCUUCCCACGCUCUUCAUAUACAAUGGAUGGGCUUAGAGUGCUUUCUUUGAUGCUGAGUGAAGUCUGCAUUUGGAGUAAAGCCUCCCCCAUGUGGACCAUGCUUCAAGGCUUUCUGCGUUCAGAGGAGCCUCUGAUGCUGCUUAUGUACUAAAUUCUAGAUAAAGUUCGUGUUGGAGUCAUUGAGUUUGACUUGUUUCUUAAUCGUGGAAUGUACCCAAUUUCUCCUUCAGCUUCUGUAAAGUUUUCAUUUGGGUCUGCCAGGAAUGUCUCUGUGUGUUUCCCUUUCUUCGUGUGUCUUGCUUUGGGUGUAUAUUUCUGUAUUUGCUUCUGGAAUCACCAUCUGUAGCUACAAGUAGAUGAACUGUCCAAUGAAGAAUAUAAAUUCAAUGAGUACAAUUCAGAUUUAUGAGUCAACUAUUUUAGAAUGCGGGUAACAGGGCUUCUGCAUGUAGGAAAGGGAAGUGGUUAGCAAGAAGACUGAUGAAGGUCACUGAAAAAAUGCAAAGCAAAUCAAGAUGUGUAGAAGGGACAAUAUUUGAGAGCAAGGAGAUAUUGUCUGAAAGUUUUGCAGUGGCAAAGUGAUACAUAUGGGUAAGCGAAGAAAUACAGACUAAGUAUAAAAACUUUGGAGUAGUAACCAGCAGUAAGAAGCAGGAAAGGACUGUUAAUGAUGAUGAUUUUGAGGUUGAGUUAUACCUAAUAAUGGACAGCCAUAAAACGGGGAUCACAGUAAAUAUGAGACUAUGUGACAGAGACACUCUAGAAAUAAAGAAGUCAAGGUUUAGUGGAGGCCUCGCUCCAUUUGGGAUACUUACUAUCCUGAGUCAGUAACUGAUGGUGCCCUGAAAUCUCUGUAUGUCCAAGACUUCUUAAAGAGAUCCUUCUCCUGAGCUUUGCUACUUAGUAUAAGAGGAAAUUAAAUAUGUGUAAUAAAAAUACACUGUGGUUUUGGCAUUUAUUUAAAUUUAUAAACAACAUAAAGAAUAUAUAAUUUGACCAGAGGCAUUGGCUUAUUCCUGUAAUCACAGCCCUUUGGGAGGCCAUGGUGGACAGAUUGCUUCAACCCAGGAAUUUGAGACCAGGCUGGGUAAUAUAGCAAGAACUCACCUCUGCAAAAACUACAAAAAUAUUAGCCAAGAGUGGUGGCGCCCACCUGUAUUCCACGGUGCAUAUUUACCAUGUUUCCUUUAUCCAUUCCACCCCUGAUGCACAUCUAGGUUGAUUCCAUGUUUUUGCUAUUGUGUAUAGUGCUGUGAUGAAUAUAUGAGUGCAUGUAACUUUUUGGUAGAAUGGUUUAUUUUUCUCUGCAUACAUACCCAGUAGUGGGAUUGCUGGGUUUAAUGGCAGUUCUUUGAGAAAUCACCAAACUGCUUUCCACAGUUGCUGAACUGUGUAUAAGCAUUCCUUUUGCUCCUCAGCCUCACCAGCAUCUCUUAUUGUUUGACUUUUAAAUAACAACCAUUCUGACUGGUGUUAAGAUGGUUCCCACUGUGCUUUUAUUUGCAUUUCUCUGAUGAUUAGUGAUCUUUCACAUUUUUUCAUGUUUGCUGGCUGCUUCUGUGUCUUCUUUUGAGAUAUGUCAUGUGUUUUGACCAAAUUGUAAUGGAAUUUUUUUUGCUUGUUGAAUUGUUUGAGUUCCUUAUAAAUUCUGGAUAUCAGAUUUUUGCUGGAUGAAGUUUGCAAGUAUUUUUUUUCCCAUUCUGUAGGCUAUUUACUGUUGAUAAUUUAUUUUACUGUGAAGAGCUCUUUAAUUAGGUCCCAUUUGUCAAUUUUCAUUUUUGUUGAGAUUGCUUUUAAGGACUUAGUCAUAAAUUCUUUCCCAAGGCUGAUGUCCAGAAUGGCAUUUCCUAGGUUUUCUUCUAGGAUUCUUAGAUUUGCAGUCUUACUUUUAAAUCUUUAAUCCAUCCAUAUAUAUAUAUGUAAAAUUGCAUUUUAGGUUAUGGGAUACAUGUAAAGAACAUGUAGGAUUGUUGCAUAGGUACAUACAUGGCAAUGUGGUUUGCUGCCUCCAUCCCCAUCACCUAUAUCUGGAAUUUCUCCCCAUGAUAUCCCUCCCCAACUCACUACCCUUCACUAUCCCUCCCAUAGUCCCCCACCAACAGACCUUAGUGUUCUCAUUGUUCAACACCCACCUAUCAGUGAGAACAUGAGGUGCUUGAUUCUCUGUUCCUGUGUCAGUUUGCUGAGAAUGAUGGUUUCCAUGUUCAUCCAUGUCUCUACAAAGGACACAAACUCAUUGUUUUUUUAUGGCUGCAUAGUGUUCCAUGGUGUAUAUGUGCCACAUUUUCCCUGACCAGUCUAUUAUCAAUGGGCAUUUGGGUUGGUUCCAAGUCUUUGCCAUUGUAAACAGGGCUGCAGUGAAUAUAUGUGUGCAUGUGUUCUUAUAAUAGAAUGAUUUAUAAUACUUUGGAUAUACACCCAGUAAUGGGAUUGCUGGGUCAAAUGGAAUUUCUAUUUCAAGGUCCUUGAGGAAUCACCACACUGUCUUUCACAACGGUUGAACUAAUUUACACUCCCACCAACAGUGUAAAAGUGUUCCUAUUUCUCCACAUCCUCUCCAGCAUCUGUUGUCUCCAGAUUUUUUUAAUGAUUGCUAUUCUAACUGGCAUGAGAUGGUGUCUCAAUGUAGUUUUGAUUUGUAUUUCUUUAAUGACCAGUGAUGAUGAGCAUUUUUCAUGUUUGUUGGCCUCAUUUCUGCCUUCUUUUGAAAAGUGGCUGUUCGUAUCCUUCACUCAUUUUUGAAUGGGUUUGUUUUUUUUUCUCAUAUAUCUGUUUUAGUUCUUUGUAGAUUUUGGUUAUAAGUCCUUAUUCUGUUGGUUGCCAGUUCACUCUAAUGAUUGUUUCUUUUGCUGUGCAGAAGCUGUAGAGUUUAAUUAGAUCCCAUUUGUCUAUUUUGGCUUUUGUUGCCAAUGCUUUUGGUGUUUUAGUCAUGAAGUCUUUGCCUAUGCCUGUGGUCUGAAUGGUUUUGCCUAGGUUUUCUUCUAAGGUUUUUAUCAUGUGAGGUCUUAUGUUUAGGUCUUUAAUCCAUCUGGAGUUAAUUUUAGUGUAAGGUGUGAGGAAGGGGUCCAGUUUCUGCUUUCUGUACAUAGCUAGCCAGUUUUCCCAACACAAUUUAUUAAACAGGGAAUCCUUUUCCCAUUGCUUGUUUUUGUCAGGUUUGUCAAAGAUCACAUGGUUGUAGAUGUGUGGCACUGCCUCCAUGGCCUCAGUUCUGUUCCAUUGUUCUGUAUCUCUGUUUUGGUACCAGAACCAUGCUGUUUUGAUUACCGUAACCUUGUAGUAUAGUUUGAAGACAGGUAGGGUGAUGCCUCCGGCUUUGUUCUUUUUGCUUAGAAUUGACUUGGCUAUGCAGGCUCUCUUUUGGUUCCAUAUGAAGUUUAAGGUGUUUUUUUCCAGUUCUGUGAAGAAGUUUAUUGGUAGCUUGAUGGGGGUAGCAUUGAAUCUGUAAAUUACUAUGGGCAGUAUGGCCAUUUUCACAACAUUGAUUCUUCCUAACCAUGAACAUGGGAUGUUUCUCCAUCUGUUCGUGUCCUCUCUUAUUUCAUUGAGCAGUGGUUUGUGGUACUCCUUGAAGAUGUCUUUUGUUGGGGUCCGGCAUGUCUGCCGGGGGGCUACCAACCUGCAGGAGUGUCCAAGACCGCCAACGUAGAUGUCUCAUUCAACCUGAGGGAGAGAGUUCAUGGAAGUGAAAGAAAAAAGAAAAGCAGAGUCUGGAGGGCUGGCUUAGGCUAUGCCCAAGCAGCAAUUUUAUUUUUGCAAUAUGUUCCAUUAUAUACUUUUCUGAAGUUAAUGUUGUUUACGCCAGAUCUACAUACUUAAGUUACAGUAAGCAAGUUAUGCCCACUAAGUUACACCCAGUAAGUAAGUUAAGCCCAGUAAGUCAGUUAUGCCCAGUAAGUUAUGGUAAGUCAGUUAUACCCAGUAAGUUACAGUAAGUAAGUUACGCCCAGCAAGUAAGUUACGCCCAGUAAGUACUUAACAAUUGUAAAUACUUAAGUUUAGUCACAAGAUAAGCAAGUUACAGUUAUGCCCAGUAAGUUGUGGUAAGUAAGUUACAGUUACACCCAGUAAGUUAUGGUAAGUAAGUUACCAAGUGUAAAUACUUGUUAAUAUUUUACAAUGAAGGUAACAAGGGUAUAAAAUGAACACAAUCAAGCAAUAAACCAUAAGGAGCCAAAAGUGGACACAAUGCCUCCCAAGUUCUCAUAUCCAUAAAGUAAUGUCUGUUAAUUAUUUUGAAUAGGAUAGUCCCUCUCUCGGUUUCUGCUUUCCCUCAGCUCAACUCCCCCAACCGGGGAUCUGUGUCCGGGCUCAAGCUCACCGUAUGGCGAGGCCCAUUUCCUAGGGGCCUCACACAGGAGCAAUCCCCACAGAUCCCUCUUUACAUCCUUUGUUAGUUGUAUUCCUAGGUAUUUUAUUCUCUUUGUAGCAAUUGUGAAUGACAGUUUGUUCUUGAUUUGGCUCUCUUUAAGUCUGUUAUUGGUGUAUAGGAACGCUUGUGAUUUUUGCACAUUGAUUUUGUAUCCUGAGACUUUGCUGAAGUUGCUUAUCACUUUCAGGAGAUUUGGGGCUUAGACGAUGGGGUCUAAAUAUACAAUCAUGUCAUCUGCAAAUAGAGAUAAUUUGACUUCCUCCUUUCCUAAUUGAAUACCCUUUAUUUCUUUUUCUUGCCUGAUUGCUCUGGCCAGAACUUCCAAUACUGUAUUGAAUAGGAGUGGUGAGAGAGGGCAUCCUUGUCUAGUGUCAGAUUUCAAAGGGAAUGCUUCCAGUUUUUGCCGAUUCAGUAUGAUAUUAGCUGUGGGUUUAUCAUAAAUAGCUUUUAUUAUUUUGAGAUACAUUUUUUAAAUACCUAGCUUAUUGAGAGUUUUUAGCAUAAAAGGCUGUUGAAUUUUGUCGAAGGCCUUCUCUGCGUCAAUUGAUGUAAUCAUGUGGUUUUGUCUUUGGUUCUGUUUACGUGGUGAAUUACGUUUAUAGACUCAUGUAUGUUGAACAGCCUUGCAUCUCCACGAUGAAGCCUACUUAAUUGUGGUGGAUAAGCUUUUUGAUGUGCUGUUGCAAUUGGUUGCCAGUUUUUUAUUGAAGAUUUUGCAUCUAUGUUCAUCAUGGAUAUUGGCCUGAAGUUUUAUUUUCUUGUUGAAAGUUUUAUUUCUCUGUUGGGUUUUGGUAAUAGGAUGAUGUUGGUCUCAUAAAAUGGUUUGAUGAGGAUGCCCUCUUUUUGGAUUGUUUGAAAUAAUUUCCAAAGGAGUGGUAUCAGCUCCUCUUUGUAUGUCUGGUAGAAUUCGGCUGUGAAUUCAUCUGGACCUGGGCUUUUUUUGGUUGGUAGGCUAUUAAUUGCUGUCUCAACUUCAGCCCUUGUUAUUGGUCUAUACAGGGUUUUGACUUCUUCCUGGUUUAGGCUUGAAUUCAAGUCUUAGAUAUCCUUGUUAAUCUGUCUCAUUCAUCUGUCUAAUAUUGACAGUGGAGUGUUAAAUUGCCCCACUAUUAGUGUGUGGGAAUCUAAGUCUCUUUGUAGGCCAUUAAGAAUUCGCUUUAUGUGUCUGGGUGCUCCUGUAUUGGGUGUGAAUAUAUUUAGGAUCAUUAGCUCUUCUUGUUGCAUUGAUCCUUUUACCAUUAUGUAAUGCUCUUCUUUGUCUCUUUUGAUCUUUGUUAGUUUAAAGUCUAUUUUAUCAGGGACUAGGAUUGCAACUCCUGCUUUUUUUUUUGCUCUCCAUUUGCUUGGCAGAUCUUCCUCCAUUCCUUUAUUUUGAGCCUAUGUGUAUCCUUGCAUGUGAGAUAGGUUUCCUAGAUAUAGCACACUGAUGGGUAUUGACUUUUUAUCCAGUUUUCCAGUCUUUGUCUUUUGAUUGGGGCAUUUAGCCCAUUUACAUUUAAGGUUAAUAUUGUUAUGUGUGAAUUUGAUCCUGCCAUUUUGAUGCUAACUGGUUGUUUUGCCCAUUAGUUGAUGCAGUUUCUUCACUGUGUUGAUGCUCUUUACCAUUUGGUACAUUUUUGGAGUGGCUGGUACUGGUUGUUCCUUUCUAUGUUUAGUGCUUCUUUCAGGAGCUCUUAUAAAGCAGGCCUGGUGGUGAUGAAAUCUCUGAGCAAUUGUUUGUUCAUAAAGGAUUUUAUUUCUCUUUCGCUUAUGAAGCUUAGUUUGGGUGGAUAUGAAAUUCUAGGUUGAAAGUUCUUUUCUUUAAGGAUAUUGAAUAUUGGCCCGCACUCUCUUCUGGCUUAUUGGGUUUCUGCAGAGAGAUCUGUUGUGAGUUUGAUGGGCUUCCCUUUGUAAGUAACCUGACCUUUCUCUUUGGCUGCCCUUAGCAUUUUUUCCUUCAUUUCAACCCUGGUGAAUCUGAUGAUCAUGUGCCUUGUGGUUGCUCUUCCUGAGGAAUAUCUUUGUGGUAUUCUCUGUGUUUCCUGGACUUGAAUGUUGGCCUGCCUUGCUAGGUUGGGGAAGUUCUCCCGGAAAAUAUUCUGAAGAGUGUUUUCCAGCUUCGAUUCAUUCUCUCCAUCACAUUCAGGUACACCUAUCAAAUGUAGGUUAGGUCUUUUCACAUAAUCCCAUAUUUCUUGAAGGCUUUGUUCAUUUCUUUUUACUCUUUUUUCUCUAAACUUGCCUUCUCAUUUUAUUUCAUUGAGUUGAUCUUCAUUCUCUGAUAUCCUUUCUUCUGUUUGGUCAAUUUGGCUAGUGAAACUUGUGUAUGCUUCGCGAAGUUCUUGUGUGGUGUUUUUCAGCUCCAUCAAUUCAUUUAUAUUCCUCUCUAAGCUGCUUAUUCUCGUUAGCAUUUUGCCAAACCUUUUUUCAAGGUUCUUAGUUUCUUUGCAUUGGGUUAGAACAUGAUCUUUUAACUCAGAGAAGUUUGUUAUUACCCACCUUCUGAAGCCUGUUUCUGUCAAUUCAUCAGACUCAUUCUCCAUCCAGCCUUGUUCCCUUGCUGGUGAGAAGUUGUGUUCCCUUGGAGGAGUAGAGACGUUCUGGUUUUGGGUGUUUUCAUCCUUUUUGCACUGGUUUCUUCCCAUCUUUGUGGAUCUGUCUUCCUGUGGUCUUUGUGGUUGGUGACUUUCAGAUGGGGUGUCUGAGUGGACAUCCUUUUUGUUGCUGAUGAAGUUAUUUCUGUUUCUUAGUCCUCUUUCUAACAGUGAGCCCCUGCUGAUGUAGGACUGCUGGAGGUCCACUCCAGACCCUGCUUUCCUGGGGAACACCUGCAGUGGCUGUUGAACAGUAAGGGUUGCUGCCAGUUUCUUCUUCCAUUAUCUUUGUCCCAGAAGGAUACCCUCCAGAUGUCAGCCUGAGGUCUCCUUUAUGAGGUAUCUCUUUGGUUAUACAGGGGUCAGGGAGCUGCUUGAGGAAACAGUCUGUACCUUAUAGGAGUUCAAGUGCUGAGCUAUGAGCUCCAUUGUUCUGUUCAGAGCUUUGGAGCAGGUAUGUUUAAGCUGCUGCUGUGGAACUCUUAACCACCUUGUUUUCCCAGGUGCUCUGUCCUGGGAAGGUGGGGCUUUAUUUAUAAGUUCCUGUCAUUCUGCUGCCUUUUUUCAGAGAUGCCAUGCCCAGUGAGGAGGUAGCCUCCUCACAGUCUGCCAGCAGAGACAUUGCUGAGCUGCUGUGUGAAUUUCCUUGCAGUUUUGUUUAUAGAGUUAUAGUUAGAACUGCCUCAGUAAUGGCUGUAUGCCUCAGUAAUGGCAGACUGUCUGUGUAAUGGCAGACUGCCUUGGUAAUGGCAGAUUGCCUCAGUAAUGGUGGACUGCCUUAGUAGUGGUGGACUGUCUCGGUAAUGGUGGACACCCUUCCCGUGGGACGGUCCAGCUGUGCUUGCUAUGAAACUCUCAAUCCAGAGCGUUUCAGAUUGCUGGUCUUUGUGGGGGUGGGACCAGCCAAGCCAGAUCACCUGGCUCCCUGUUUCAGCCCACCUUUUUUCAGUUGAAUGGGUGACUCUGUCUUCCAGGCAUUCCAGUCGCCAGUUGAAACAGCGCCUGGAUUUGUGUGAGUUUUUUUGUGGAUACCCGCUGUGCUGACCGAAACAGUGGCAAUGGAGACUCGUGGCACUUUUCCACAUGGGAAUCUCCUGGUCCGUGGUCAGUAAAAGUUUGUUUGGAAAUGUGGUGGUCACUCACCCUCUGUGUUUUUGCUGGGAACUGCAAUCCAGAGCUGUUCUUAUUCAGCUAUCUUCUAAUCCAUCUUGAAUUAUUUUUUAUAUAUAAUGAAAUGCAAGGACCCAGUCUCAUUCUUCUGCAUAUGGCUAGCCAACUAUCUCAGCACCAUUUGUAAAUAAGCACCUGUUGCUUAUUUUUGUUCUUUGUCAAAGAUCAGAUGACUGUAGAUAUGUGACCUUAUUUCUGGGUUCUCUAUUUAGAUCUAUCAGUCUCUAUGUUUGUUUUUAUGUUGGCACCAUGCUGUGUUGGUUAUUGUAGACUUACAGUAUAGUUUGAGGUCAAGUAAUGUGAUACCCCCAGAUUUGUUCUUUUUGCUUAGGAUUGCUUUGGCCAUUUUGGUUAUUUUUUUCUUCUCUAUGAAUUUUAGAAUAGUUUUUUUCUAAUUGUGUGAAAAAUGACAUUGGUAAUUUAACAGGAAUAGUGUUGAAGCUAUAGAUUGCUUUGGCUAGUAUGGUCAUUUUAAUGAUAUUGAUUCUUUCAAUCCAUGAGCCAGAAAUGUUUUUCCAUUUGUUUGUGUCAUCUAUGAUUUCUUUUAGCAGUGUUUUGUAGAUCUUUUUGUAGCAGUCUUUCAAGUUUGGUUAGAUAUAUUCCUAGGUAUUUAUUUUUUUGUGGUUAUUAUAAAUGGGAUUUCAUACAACUUGAUUUUAGAUGGUUCAGUUGAAAAGGGAAGAAAGAGGAAGAAAGAAUAGAAAGGGGGAAGGAAAGAAGGAAUGAAAGCAAAGUAUACAUGUGGCUGGGCAUGGUGACUAUGCCUGUAUCUAAGUACACUAUGCCUGUAUCUAAGUACUUUGGGAGGCCGAGGGAGGAUUAUUUGAGGCCAGGAGUUCAAGACCAUCCUGGUCAAUAUAGUGAGAUUUUGUCUCUACAAAAAAUUUAAAAAUUAGUUGGGCAUGUUGGCACAUGCCUGUAGUUUUAGCUACUCAGGAGGCUGAGGUGGGAGGAUCCCUUGAGUUGAGCCCAGGAGUUCGAGACUAUUAGCUAUAGUUGCACCACUGCACUCCAGCCUGGGCAACAGAGUAAGACCCUGUCU